UGCAGCCAUGUGUUUGUAUUCUCUUCGUAGUCUGCACUCUAAAAUGGCUGCUGAUAGUAAAUGUGUAGCUCAUGGGCCUCUGUUCUGACUAGUAAACAGGGAGGAUAAUAAAAUGCUACAAACAAUG
Pristis pectinata (smalltooth sawfish) is the source of this 127-nucleotide small nucleolar RNA. RefSeq annotates it as small nucleolar RNA SNORA5. NCBI's taxonomy places the organism in Eukaryota, Metazoa, Chordata, Chondrichthyes, Rhinopristiformes, Pristidae. The record is from RefSeq and is a predicted model, not a curated record. The transcript has a single exon.